RNAcentral lists this ribosomal RNA (798 nucleotides) under Pseudomonas sp. V8R2E5. RNAcentral describes it as "bacterial SSU rRNA". It matches the Rfam family "Bacterial small subunit ribosomal RNA", at positions 53 to 838 of the family's 1533-position model. Lineage: Bacteria; Pseudomonadati; Pseudomonadota; Gammaproteobacteria; Pseudomonadales; Pseudomonadaceae. The record is from RNAcentral.
ACCAUGCAAGUCGAGCGGUAGAGAGGUGCUUGCACCUCUUGAGAGCGGCGGACGGGUGAGUAAAGCCUAGGAAUCUGCCUGGUAGUGGGGGAUAACGCUCGGAAACGGACGCUAAUACCGCAUACGUCCUACGGGAGAAAGCAGGGGACCUUCGGGCCUUGCGCUAUCAAAUGAGCCUAGGUCGGAUUAACUAGUUGGUGAGGUAAUGGCUCACCAAGGCGACGAUCCGUAACUGGUCUGAGAGGAUGAUCAGUCACACUGGAACUGAGACACGGUCCAGACUCCUACGGGAGGCAGCAGUGGGGAAUAUUGGACAAUGGGCGAAAGCCUGAUCCAGCCAUGCCGCGUGUGUGAAGAAGGUCUUCCGAUUGUAAAGCACUUUAAGUUGGGAGGAAGGGCAUUAACCUAAUACGUUAGUGUUUUGACGUUACCGACAGAAUAAGCACCGGCUAACUCUGUGCCAGCAGCCGCGGUAAUACAGAGGGUGCAAGCGUUAAUCGGAAUUACUGGGCGUAAAGCGCGCGUAGGUGGUUCGUUAAGUUGGAUGUGAAAUCCCCGGGCUCAACCUGGGAACUGCAUUCAAAACUGUCGAGCUAGAGUAUGGUAGAGGGUGGUGGAAUUUCCUGUGUAGCGGUGAAAUGCGUAGAUAUAGGAAGGAACACCAGUGGCUAAGGCGGACCACCUGCACUGUAUUGCUGACACUGAUGUGCGAACGCGUGGGUGAGCAAACAUGAUUGUGGUCGCUGGUAGUCCACGGUGUUAAACGAUAUCAUACUACGCAGUUCGGAGCCUCGAGCU